UGCCAGCAGCCGCGGUAAUACGAAGGGAGCUAGCGUUGUUCGGAAUCACUGGGCGUAAAGCGCACGUAGGCGGAUUUGUUAGUCAGGGGUGAAAUCCCGGGGCUCAACCUCGGAACUGCCUUUGAUACUGCAAGUCUGGAGUCCGGAAGAGGUGGGUGGAAUUCCUAGUGUAGAGGUGAAAUUCUUAGAUAUUAGGAAGAACACCGGUGGCGAAGGCGACUCACUGGACCGUAUCUGACGCUGAGGUGCGAAAGCUAGGGUAGCAAACGGGAUUAGAUA
This 279-nucleotide ribosomal RNA is filed under the name uncultured bacterium. RNAcentral describes it as "partial 16S ribosomal RNA". It matches the Rfam family "Bacterial small subunit ribosomal RNA", at positions 506 to 784 of the family's 1533-position model. The record is from RNAcentral.